Molecule: ribosomal RNA, 430 nt
Filed under: Acidobacteriota bacterium
Lineage: Bacteria; Pseudomonadati; Acidobacteriota
Description: Acidobacteria bacterium partial 16S ribosomal RNA
Rfam family: Bacterial small subunit ribosomal RNA
Source: RNAcentral
UGGGGAAUAUUGGACAAUGGGCGGAAGCCUGAUCCAGCCAUGCCGCGCGUGUGAAGAAGGCCUUUUGGUUGUAAAGCACUUUAAGCGAGGAGGAGGCUACUUGGAUUAAUACUCUAGGAUAGUGGACGUUACUCGCAGAAUAAGCACCGGCUAACUCUGUGCCAGCAGCCGCGGUAAUACAGAGGGUGCGAGCGUUAAUCGGAUUUACUGGGCGUAAAGCGUGCGUAGGCGGCUUCUUAAGUCGGAUGUGAAAUCCCUGAGCUUAACUUAGGAAUUGCAUUCGAUACUGGGAAGCUAGAGUAUGGGAGAGGAUGGUAGAAUUCCAGGUGUAGCGGUGAAAUGCGUAGAGAUCUGGAGGAAUACCGAUGGCGAAGGCAGCCAUCUGGCCUAAUACUGACGCUGAGGUACGAAAGCAUGGGGAGCAAACAGG